RNAcentral lists this ribosomal RNA (315 nucleotides) under Triticum aestivum (bread wheat). RNAcentral describes it as "partial small subunit ribosomal RNA". The record is from RNAcentral. Lineage: Eukaryota; Viridiplantae; Streptophyta; Magnoliopsida; Poales; Poaceae.
AUGGUUGGACUCACAGGGAGGGGGCCAGGGGUACGAGGGAAGUCCGCCGGUGCAAGUUAUCAUUGGAUUGUUGAACACUUUGGGGAAUGUCCGGCUGAUGCGGACGAUCAAACAGUGCAGCAGUAUACCAGGGCAUACUUGCGGUAUGUAGCCAGCCGGACUCUUUUCUCUGACGGCACUGGCGUCAACGCUUCCUUUAUGUGGGUUAAGCUGUUUGCUGGUUGGGAGCAUGGACUCAGUUGGGGUACGACGGCGUUGGCUUAUUUGUAUCGUCAGGUAAGUGGUUUUGCUUAUAAUAGUGUGUUCACCAUGUAG